Molecule: long non-coding RNA, 1752 nt
Organism: Bos taurus (domestic cattle)
Lineage: Eukaryota; Metazoa; Chordata; Mammalia; Artiodactyla; Bovidae
Source: Ensembl
CAAAUGGUGGAGGAGCUGGGUUUGAACCCAGGUCCUGAAAUCCCUCGUCCAGAAGCAGUGAAUCAUCUCAGACGUGAGCCAAGGUUGCCAUGCAGGCGCCAAGAGCCUCGGAGAUGUAGCUGUUCAGGGGAAAAGCUUAGAUCCAUCUGUUUCAUUUUAACCAUUCUCCCUAUAUGCCUAUCUAAUCUCCAGAGGACCUCGACCAUCCAAUCUGGACCCACUGAGAGGGCGAGACUUCCUCGAGCUCAGUGUAGGAGCCACACACACACCCAGCCUUCCGGGCCCCUCCUCCUUGAGGCCCCCCUCCAACUGCAGGAGGGGCUUUCAAAGACUGAAGUUCCCCAAAUAACCCUCCUUCCCAUGUUGUUAUUCUUUAAGGGAAAUGUCUACAGAAAAUAAAAACCACUUGGCAGCGGCUGUUCUUGGAACAAAAGGCAGCGAUCUGUGCGGGAAGCUGCCCAAGGUGGUUUUCCCUGAAGGGCCAAGCCUUUGGCAUUCACGUGGUCAGUGCCCUUCACCCUCACCUUCCAUGGAAGCCCUGCUCCGGGAUGCCAGGACUUGGCCUGGAGGGACGUGCACCACUGGGAGACAGUUGGCUCCACAGCACGGCUGGUCCCUCAGAAGUGCAGGGGCUCUGCAGGCUCCUCUCUCUGCCCAUCACUUGUCAGGUCCACUUGACUGGUUGUCUCCAACCUUCCAAGCCAUCGUCCAACCAGGCCCAGCAGGUGCCUCCAGCCCUGGGACAGCUAUGCAGGCCUGGAGACUGGCCGCACCCCCUGGCCUGCUCUGCCCGUCCGCUGGGCAGCCGGCCUUCCUUUUCAUCGGAGCUGCUGGAGGCCUACAGGCAGCUUACAGGAAACGGUGCCUGGAGAAACAAGAGGCCUUUGAAGCACAAGCACUGUACACCACGUCAUCUCCCCGCCUCCUCGCUGGACUCGGAGCUUCUCACUUGCUGGCCGUGGGCCGGGUGGGUCUACAGGGAUAAAGAAUGUGCACGCCAGACGUGAUGUUCGUUUUCUGAUAAUCAAUGGAUUUUAUGCAUCUGCCAAGAGUUGUGAACGGGCGAUAUGAUAUAUAGAUAGUCGGCAACUAAAUUUCAUCUCGCUCAUCAGUGCUGAUGGACAGGAAGUGGAUGCAGGAGAACUGGAUUCAGAGGACGUGAAAAUUAACCUGGUUUUGCCGUGUUCCUGGGCACCUGCCUCCAUGCACACCUGAGUUCAGGAGCCAUGUCCCUCCACUAGAGGGCGGGCAUCGUAGACGCCUGCUACGCCACCUGGGCUGUCGCGUGUGUUCCGGCCUCAGCCCUGGAGAAGGAGGCAGAACAUUCUGGUAGCAGAGUAACCCAAAAGGCAAUGUCUGCCUCAAGCUGAGGACGUUUGCAGCUGACUCUCCAAGGUCCUCACGCACAGCUGACGUGCGCGCGUGGCAGACACGGGCCGUGUGACUGCAGGCAGCACCGCACCCGCCUGACUCGGCGGGUUUCAAACUGAGCCUGACCUGCACCGCGGAAGGACCACCCACUUGUCCCACUCCAGGGGCACUGAGAUCAGACGGGUGACGGGCUUCAUCCGAGACCCCAACCAUUCCUGAGCUGUGUUCCUGGAAUGCCUCCUGGAGCCUGUGACCCAUCCCAACGCACAGCCACUUUCAAACCCCUGCUGAUCGGAGUCACCAAGAAUCAGCUUUGGUGAGUUUGUGUCUCUCAGGCAGCUUAUCCACUUUUCCAAGUCGCCUGUAAGAUCUGUAGUGGUG